CCUACGGGUGGCAGCAGUGAGGAAUAGUGGUCAAUGGACGCAAGUCUGAACCAGCCAUGCCGCGUGCAGGAAGACGGCUCUAUGAGUUGUAAACUGCUUUUGUACGAGGGUAAACGCAGAUACGCGUAUCGGUCUGAAAGUAUCGUACGAAUAAGGAUCGGCUAAAGCCGUGCCAGCAGCCGCGGUAAUACGGAGGCUUCAAGCGUUAUCCGGAUUUAUUGGGUUUAAAGGGUGCGUAGGCGGUCGGAUAAGUUAGAGGUGAAAUCCCGAGGCUCCACUUCGGAAUUGACUCUGAUACUGUUCGGCUAGAGCGUAGUUGCGGUAUGCGGAAUGUUUGGUGUAGCGGU
RNAcentral lists this ribosomal RNA (347 nucleotides) under uncultured bacterium. RNAcentral describes it as "partial 16S ribosomal RNA". It matches the Rfam family "Bacterial small subunit ribosomal RNA", at positions 338 to 682 of the family's 1533-position model. The record is from RNAcentral.